This 68-nucleotide transfer RNA is filed under the name Marmota monax (woodchuck). Its description in RNAcentral is "tRNA.Ala". Lineage: Eukaryota; Metazoa; Chordata; Mammalia; Rodentia; Sciuridae. The record is from RNAcentral.
GGUUUGUGGCUCAGUGGUAGAGCGCUUGCCUAGCAUGUGUGAGAUACUGGGUUCAAUUUUCAGCACCA